Molecule: long non-coding RNA, 243 nt
Filed under: Rosa chinensis
Lineage: Eukaryota; Viridiplantae; Streptophyta; Magnoliopsida; Rosales; Rosaceae
Description: sRNA RchiOBHm_Chr5g0044671
Source: RNAcentral
UGGUCAGGAAAAUGCAGAGGAGGAGGAUAUGGAUAACAAUGAUGAUCUUGCUAGAGAUGCCAUUGAAAGUGAUGACAAGGAAGAACAGGCACCAGCAGAACUGCCUCCCAAAACAUCAAAAUUUAUAGCAUCAGUGCCCCUGUGAUGGUUGAGGUGGAGGGUGAGGCUGACCCACUUGAGAUUGCUAUGAAAGAGCUUCGUGAAAGGAAGAUACUCUUUACCAUCCGCCACUACCUCCCCUGA